This 9364-nucleotide long non-coding RNA is filed under the name Sorghum bicolor (sorghum). RNAcentral's name for it is "long non-coding RNA (SBIC_LNC000089)". The record is from RNAcentral. Lineage: Eukaryota; Viridiplantae; Streptophyta; Magnoliopsida; Poales; Poaceae.
AAGCCCUCUGCCAUCCUCGCCCGCAAGGUCGAACCUUGAACCUAGCCGACAUCGUCUCCGACGUUGGCAAAACCCUUGCCGUUCAUUUCGAUAUCAUACAUGCCAUGUAUCUUGCUCAUGUAUGCAUUAUGAUCUAUCUGCAUGACCAUUUGUUCAUCUAUCCAUGUCAUGCACUUGUUACAUGAUUAUUCAUCUCAUAUCUCGUUUAAUGCGCGAUCUAUCUUCGUCUAUAUCUCUGCCUGUGCCGUGCCUUCGUGCCGGUCUAUUUAUCUAUCUCUAUCUCUUUUGGUCGCUAUGGAAAUGUGCUACUCCGAGUCGUCGUCUUGUUAGUGUUGCAAUUUGUGCUUUUGUUCUUGUCGUUGUGGACCGUGCCGUCGAGCCGGUUGAGAGAGUGACGUGUUUGGAUGUUGCGAUCGCGAGUUCGUCUCGCCAUGGCCGUAAUGCCGAGCAUGUCCCUUCUCUCGUAUUUCUGUUGUUCCUUCUUUUGUUAUUUGCAUGCCUGAGGACCGAGCCUUCGAGCCGGUUAGGGAAAAUGGUGGAGCGAUCGAUCAUUUCGAUCGUGGGUUCGUCCCGCCGUGAUCGCGAUGCCGAGCGUAACUCAUUCCCUGUGAUUAGUUGUCUUCGCUGCGCUACGGUCGUUAGCUCCUAUUCCCGUCCCUCGAACGUGGUCAUCGUGGACUCGAUGUCGUUAACGACGCGGUUCUUACCCGCACACUCGAGACCUAAAUGACCUAGUCUAGUGGGAUACGAAUUAGGGGACAACCUUCGUAGAACUAUCGGAGAAACUCGUUAGGUGAAGCUCAUGGCCGCGAGUCCACCUUGCCAUGGCCAUUGGGCUUUACCCCAUUUCUCCCGUGUUUAUCCUAACCACCUCGUAUGCUUGUACCACUUCGACUAUAGCAUUCCCUCGGACCUAGCGGUGACAACCACAUCGCUAUGGGCCUUAGGAAUAGCCUUGUGCUGAUUUAGAUGCACAGUCAUGGUGCCCUACAAGUGGGUUGGGAUCGUGGGGUCGUAUUCCUUUUAUCCAACCGUCGUUGUUCCAUGAUGAGUUGGUCGAAAGAGUAUGGACUCCAUUCUUCUUCUCUCUUGUUCUCAAUCCCGUCGAUCCAGUAAGAUGGGGAUUAAGCCCCUUUUGCUUGUUUGAUGUUUUGUUUCCAAUCCCGCGAUUCCCGCCGUUGCUAUGGCGAGCGGAUCAAAGGAAGGUGAAUCCCGUGUCUUUUUCCGCCUUUUUGGUUCUUCGUGCUUAAACUCUUGUAUGCUUGUACCUAUAUCGAUCGUAGCAUUUCUUUGGUUCUUGUGGUGACAACCGCACCGCAAAGAACCUUAGUGAUGUCAUAGUGCAUUUAGUGCACCUAGGUUGUGGUACCCUACAAGUGGUUUGAGUACUCGUGUUCCUUAUGUGUCACUCUUUCUAAUCCCCCGUCUCUUACCAUGGCGAGUGGAUGGGAAGAAGUAGACCACUCCCCUUUUCUUCUUUCCUUGUUCCACCCUCUCUUGGCUCUCGCCAACUACAAUGGCGUAUGGAUUGAGAGAGACCGGAACUUCGCGUGCUCAUAGUCUUUUCGAUUCUUGUCGAUCUCCGUGAUGCUUGGAUCGAAGAGCCACUACCUAUGGUGUUUGCUUAUGAUAAGUUAGGGUCUAAGCCAAUUAUUAAAGUCGUACAGGUUGACUUAGUCGACCCAGGAAGUACCGGCUAGGCUAAGACUCCAGCUUGUACUUAGUGAACAACCAUUCCCAUUUCUUUUAGCCCAAAGAUCGGACAUCCGCCGAGAGGGCUAAGCCGUUUUCCUUUCGUUGCUCUUUUAGUGUAGUUGUUCCUCAGUGUUAUGUCGUCUCUUUUCGUAGUCUUUCGAGGUCUAGUGGUUUGAUUGUUUCGCCUUGUUUGUCGCUUUCGAGGUAGUCGCUUCGAGGUUAGCGUUGAUCGGACCAGGACCAGUUGAAGGAAGAACAUGUAGAAAGGAGGAUCUUGGAUGAGUACAACUACAAGUGAACUGAGGAUCUUGGAAAUGUCACUCGACAGGUGCCACGUCCCACCCAACCUCGUAGAAUCCUAUUAGACAUGCAAUAUUAUAGAUGCUAGUGCUUUACUUUUAUGCAAAUGAACUAUGAUAGGUUGCAUGGUAGAAAUGCUUGUGAGCCAUUGCCUUGUUGCAACCUAUAACCCUCGCACACCCGCUGUUAGGUUAGAUGCUUGCAUACUACUUGCCACUGCUUCUACUACGCAUUAUAUCUGUGAUGUGAUGCAUUGUGGAGGAUUGGAUGUGAGUGGAUAAGGCACGUGUGCCGAUAACUGGUUAAGAAAUGGAUAAUGGAUAUGGGGAGAUCUUGGCGUGUGUCUUGGGUGUGUGGUGAGGGUCGAGUCGACCGAGCAGGAUUUACGACGAGUCUUGGGACAAGUCUUGCCGGGGAAUGCUACCUGGGCGUUCUCCAUGAGAGAUACCUGUGGCGGGUACAUGUGACAGGGAGAGGUCCCGGAGUGGAGUGUCUUCGUGGGACGAAGCACCGGGAUGGGAGGUGCUGUAUAGCACGGGGUAGCCGGGUGUCCCGUCGAGAGGGGCAUCGGCUGGCCCCUCGUGAAGAUGUCCUGUUCGGUUACCCUAAGGACUGAGAUGUUCUGAGAACCGGUUCGUAGGAAGCCUUACACGCCACUCGCCUUAUUAUGGUGCGGGACGGAUGUACGACCAGCUAGUGCGGUGCCACUACUACUAGGUUGAUAGCGGAUAGUGUAGGGAGGUACGGGCAUGAGGACCCACACCCUCCUAAGACAGCGUAGUGACCUUUGGGGGCCCGGUACUACGCCUCACAGUCUCAGCAUGCCGGUGGUACUCCGGUAUGGCCCCAGUCCUGAGUGGUAGGGUGGCAUCGUAUUUAGUUGGAAGGCAGCCCGGUAUCAGCCUAGACGAGCCGGUUCGUCGAUGAUGGUGAUCUUGUGGUUAGUGUAAACCUCUGCAGAGUUUGGUUGAUCGAUCGAUACAUAUGCCGUCUUCUCGGCUAUGGACCUUUCCUAUGUUCCGCUUCGCUUGACUAGUGAGAGGAGUCCCUUCUAUCUUCCCCUGGGUUUGUGUUGGAUCCGGCGUUGGCCGUUGAGGCAAGGCACGAGCGGGAGUCGUACUUGCCGCCUAGAGAGUGAGAGUGUGGUGAGAUGUGUGUGAUGGGAUGGAUGGAUGGAUGUGUGGAUGAGAUGGAUUAAAACUUGAUGAAUUAUUAUUAUUAAAAUAUUGAUGAACUUGCAUAGAAAAAACUACAGCCAUAUAUAGGCCUCUUGAUCUACCCUUUUGCAUUCCACUUACCACAAAGCUUACGCAAAAGCAUAGGGUGGGAGCCAGUGGCCAGUACAAAUCGUACUGAAAAUUGUUUAGCAGGUUUUGAACGUGAUCUAUGACGAUAACUACGGAGAAUAGAAGGAUUAGGUGGUCUCGUUCCUGCGCUCAAGUUUGGUUCAGAGAUGAAGGCUGCGCCCGCUGAUAAACUACGCCGACUCUGAUGAUUGUCCGUGAAGGAGGAGCCUUCACCGCUGUCGCGCUACAUCGACUCUGAUAAAGACUCGCGUGUGUUUCCGCUAGAAAAACAAUGUAAUAAGCUUGUUAAUCAAGAGUUGUAAAGCAAAUGUGUUGUAAUCUUGUUUCUCACGAUGUAUGACUACGAUAACAGCUGAUAUAUGAUAAUGCGAUGGUUCAAUUUUUGAAUUAUCACAUUAUAAUUCGAAUCUGUGGAUUUUUCCCUUUGUGGAAAAAUCUGGGUCGUUUCAGUUGGUAUCAGAGCCAUACUUGACCCUAGGACGAGACCAUUAGGACCAAACACUAGUUUAGAAGCCAAACAUUCUAUCUUUUGUAGAGUUAUAGAUGCUAACACUUGUUUUCCCCCCUCCGCCUUGAAUUCUGUUGCUAACUGACCUCCCUGUUUCAUAAAGUUGACCGUUGGAAUCUUUUCCCAUACCCGCCCACGCUAGAUCGGUAGUCGUGUGAGACUUUGAAGGUCUGUGAGUCGCCUCAAGUCAACACUAUGCAUUAGGAGUUGUAAUGCUGAUUGAGUGCUUGGAUCUUAUGUUCUUGCGUUUCGUCUGCUUCUUGUUGUUUGAGUGUAUGUCAUAGAACUGUUUUAUGCGAGAAAAACUCUGGAUCCCGUCCAAUCUAGCUGGCUAAACCUAAGACUGUCCCGAAACUAGAUAAGUGACCCUGGCUAACAGAGCCGAAAAAGGGUUUAAAGCUGAUGCAUCAUGUCUUGCCCAUCUAUUUCAAAACUGUUUUUGGCUUCCAACUAAACUUGUCUUCAAAAUUGCCCUUUUGUUGAAAAAGUUUCUCUCCUUUUUGGUUGAAAAAGUUUAUCUCUUUUACAAAACAUCUUGGUUUCAAAAGGAAAAGUGUUUCAAAACUCUCUCAAUAUUCUUCCCUUUUCACAAAUAAAGCAAUUUUAACCCCCCUUUCUCAACUCAAACUCUAUUUAUGAAACGGUUUAAAAACAAGUUAUCUUCAAAAGGUGUUACCAAUCCUCUUUCUGAAAAUCAAAAGUUCUACCUUCAACCAACAAAGUGGUUUUCAAACCAAAGAUCUUUGGCUCAGUUUUGUUUUAAAUGUCUUUGAUUUUAUCUCAAGAGCCAAAUUCCUUUUAAAAUUCAACCUUGCCUUAAAAGAAAAAGGAAUUCCCAGUGAUUUAUUAAACAAAAACCAUUGUGAAAAGUUUUUGUUUAGCAACCUUUCAAAAAAAAGAACGAAAUGGACUUUCAAGUUUCAAAAAUGUUUUGGUUGUGAAGGCUCUAACUUUCAAAAUGCGAAAUGAUUUCUUGUUAUUUUCAAAACUAAUUUGUUUGACUCUAAUAAAAAGGGAGCAAUACCUUGUUUUAAAGAAAAUAGUAAUAAUAAAAUGAAAGAAUUUUAAAAUCUUUUGAUUUGAAAUCUUUUAUAAUAAAACCUUCAAAAUAUUUGGUUCUCAAAACUUGUAUUGAAUUCAACCCUCUGCAAAAGCUCUCUUCAUUUUGAAGUCUCAAAAAAAAAAUUGACUUUGUAAAAUCGCUUUCACUCCAUUUAUGAAACCUGUUUUUUCCGAAAAACAUUCCUUUCAAAAGCUUUUUGCAAAGAGUGAUGCAUGAAAAACUGCUGGUGAAAGCCAACAACCCUAGCUAUGUUUAAGCCUGCCAUGCACUCCUAGAGAGCCAGAUGUUCAUCAACCUGGUGCGAUUCUUGGAUACCCAUCGCCUUAUUGUGAGAAUUUGGAUACCCAACACCAGCGAGUGAGCCUUGGAUACAUCCUGAACAUGACUCGCCCCCACAUGGAAAAGGUUUGUGGAGCCAUCUUUCUGAUAGCAAAACAACUCAGAAGUAAGAAAAGCUUUGGGAACGACACCCGCGUUUCUUCACCGACCGAGCAACGCCUAAAUCUCGGGGACGAGAUUCCUGUAAGGAGGGUGGACUGUAACAUCCCAGAUUUUCACGAAAACCAAAAAUACGAGUUUUUUUAAAAUUUUUCCUGUAAUCGUGUGAAUCAUAUAGUAUUUAGGUCAAACUCGAUCCUAACCCGCUAACAAAUCGUGGCAUACAUAUAGAUUUGUUUGUAGACGGGUCGUCUUAAGUUGGAUCUUGUUAGGGUUUUGAGUUUCUUUUGGAGUGCACAAAUCCGUAGCAAAGCCUUCCCGAAUUUUCGUUGAGCCUAUCUCAAAGGCGAAGCGGAUCCCUUCUCAACCUUUUCGUUGGAGUACGUCUCAAACUCCUUUUGAUCCUUUUGAACUCUCCCUGAAAUUCCCUUCUCUCUCUCUUUGAUCUUAUCUAAAUCUCCUCCGCAAAAUCUAUCUUAAAUUCAUGGUAACUCAUCUCAAUCUCUUGUUGAGUUCUCUCUCGAAUGCCCCUCAUUUUUUUUUCCCUUUUAAAAUUUCUCUCAAAGCCCUUGAGUCAAAUUCGUAAAUGGAAGAUCCAUCUCCUUUCAUGGGCCAAUUCUUUCCUCCUCUUCCUCCCUCCCUCGGCCCAGCCUGGGCACCCUUCCCCCCUGUCCGGCCCAACUCGCGCGCGCCAAGGCCCAGUCUGCCCCUUACCCCCCAGCCAGGUCGGCCCACCUCGUUCCCCCUGUCUCCCCUCCGAGGCCCAGCUCUUUCCUUGGCCCAUCCAGUGCCGCGCUGGCCCAUUCGCUUCUCCCUGCUCUGGCCCAAGUCGUGGCCGGCCCAGCAGCCAGCGCCCCAGCCCCAACCCUAGCAGGGAGCUGGACACCUGAGCCCCAGAGCCGCCGCCGCCGUCGCCCAAGGCAGAGCCGCGCCAGCGCUCGCGCCUGCCACGGCUUCCGUGCGACCCCGCAUCCACCGCCGCGUGUCCCGCUGCGGACACGGACGCCGAGGAUGGCCGCAGCGUCCCUGGAGCCCUAGCGCCCGCGCUAUAAAAGCGGCAGCAGCCGCUCGCCCUUCUUCUACCCGCCGCCGCCGCCAUAGCCGACUCGAAGCUCCGCACCCUCACCAAGCGCCUCGACCCCGACCUCGCCCCGCGCACCUGCACCACCGAGCUCGGUCACGCCGUGACGCCGUCGAUCGCCACCACGAUGUCGCCCGCAACUGCGUCGCCCGAGCGUCUCGUCCUCGGCACCACCUCGGCACUCGCACCGCGCCCUCGCCGAGCAGCAGCAGAGCCGCGGCCAUGGCCUCGCCCUGCCGACGCCGCCAAGCACCACUGCGCCCGCCUCGGCCGUGCCCCUACCUCUGUGUCAAGCUUCAUCACCACGCGGGGGUCAGCCGCGGUGCCGUCCUCGCUGCGCAGCGGCCUCGCCCGGCGACGUCGAGCCCGCUGCCCUCGCCGCGUCGAGCUUCGACCACGGCCGGCCGCGUGGACGCCACAGCCCGGCCGAGCCUCUGCCUCGCCACCGUGGGAGUCGCCGCGGCCACGACGCCUUCAGCCCCGGCGCCCCUCCGCGUCUACGACGGUGUCGACCGCGAGCCCCCGUGCUGUCAUGGAGCUUACCUCGUCGAGCCGACACGCCGUCGACAGAGCCACCGAUGCCGCGCGCCGGGCACCAGAGCAAGCCCCUUCGCCGAGCACCCGAUGCGCCCCGUUGCCGCGGCCACGCCAGGACAUCGCCAUGGUCACCGCGUCAGCGCCGGCCGUGGUGAUCGCGACCCCGACCACGACGCCGUGCUCAUCUUGCCACGGUGACCGCGAACUUCCCUUUUGCUGGCUGCCGAUCACCACUGAACGUGCAGCAGCGGCAGCACCACCCCGCGCGAAGCUCUUCUCUGCCGCCGGUGAGCCACCAGUGCCCAAGUGCCCUCCUUGCUAGCUUUCUGUUUUGCCUUGCUGAAACCGGCCUUUGUGCCGUGUUCUUCACUGUACAGGGAUGCUGCACCCAUGUCGUGCCACUUGCCGGAGCCGUUGGACUUAACAUCGCUGCUGUUGGAGCACCGAACCUCGAGGCGUUGCCGAACCCCAAGACUUCUCUUUCAGAUGCACCCCGGCCACUUGCAGCAAGCCGCGACCAAGCUGUAGAAGCCCUCUGCCAUCCUCGCCCGCAAGGUCGAACCUUGAACCUAGCCGACAUCGUCUCCGACGUUGGCAAAACCCUUGCCGUUCAUUUCGAUAUCAUACAUGCCAUGUAUCUUGCUCAUGUAUGCAUUAUGAUCUAUCUGCAUGACCAUUUGUUCAUCUAUCCAUGUCAUGCACUUGUUACAUGAUUAUUCAUCUCAUAUCUCGUUUAAUGCGCGAUCUAUCUUCGUCUAUAUCUCUGCCUGUGCCGUGCCUUCGUGCCGGUCUAUUUAUCUAUCUCUAUCUCUUUUGGUCGCUAUGGAAAUGUGCUACUCCGAGUCGUCGUCUUGUUAGUGUUGCAAUUUGUGCUUUUGUUCUUGUCGUUGUGGACCGUGCCGUCGAGCCGGUUGAGAGAGUGACGUGUUUGGAUGUUGCGAUCGCGAGUUCGUCUCGCCAUGGCCGUAAUGCCGAGCAUGUCCCUUCUCUCGUAUUUCUGUUGUUCCUUCUUUUGUUAUUUGCAUGCCUGAGGACCGAGCCUUCGAGCCGGUUAGGGAAAAUGGUGGAGCGUUCGAUCAUUUCGAUCGUGGGUUCGUCCCGCCGUGAUCGCGAUGCCGAGCGUAACUCAUUCCCUGUGAUUAGUUGUCUUCGCUGCGCUACGGUCGUUAGCUCCUAUUCCCGUCCCUCGAACGUGGUCAUCGUGGACUCGAUGUCGUUAACGACGCGGUUCUUACCCGCACACUCGAGACCUAAAUGACCUAGUCUAGUGGGAUACGAAUUAGGGGACAACCUUCGUAGAACUAUCGGAGAAACUCGUUAGGUGAAGCUCAUGGCCGCGAGUCCACCUUGCCAUGGCCAUUGGGCUUUACCCCAUUUCUCCCGUGUUUAUCCUAACCACCUCGUAUGCUUGUACCACUUCGACUAUAGCAUUCCCUCGGACCUAGCGGUGACAACCACAUCGCUAUGGGCCUUAGGAAUAGCCUUGUGCUGAUUUAGAUGCACAGUCAUGGUGCCCUACAAGUGGGUUGGGAUCGUGGGGUCGUAUUCCUUUUAUCCAACCGUCGUUGUUCCAUGAUGAGUUGGUCGAAAGAGUAUGGACUCCAUUCUUCUUCUCUCUUGUUCUCAAUCCCGUCGAUCCAGUAAGAUGGGGAUUAAGCCCCUUUUGCUUGUUUGAUGUUUUGUUUCCAAUCCCGCGAUUCCCGCCGUUGCUAUGGCGAGCGGAUCAAAGGAAGGUGAAUCCCGUGUCUUUUUCCGCCUUUUUGGUUCUUCGUGCUUAAACUCUUGUAUGCUUGUACCUAUAUCGAUCGUAGCAUUUCUUUGGUUCUUGUGGUGACAACCGCACCGCAAAGAACCUUAGUGAUGUCAUAGUGCAUUUAGUGCACCUAGGUUGUGGUACCCUACAAGUGGUUUGAGUACUCGUGUUCCUUAUGUGUCACUCUUUCUAAUCCCCCGUCUCUUACCAUGGCGAGUGGAUGGGAAGAAGUAGACCACUCCCCUUUUCUUCUUUCCUUGUUCCACCCUCUCUUGGCUCUCGCCAACUACAAUGGCGUAUGGAUUGAGAGAGACCGGAACUUCGCGUGCUCAUAGUCUUUUCGAUUCUUGUCGAUCUCCGUGAUGCUUGGAUCGAAGAGCCACUACCUAUGGUGUUUGCUUAUGAUAAGUUAGGGUCUAAGCCAAUUAUUAAAGUCGUACAGGUUGACUUAGUCGACCCAGGAAGUACCGGCUAGGCUAAGACUCCAGCUUGUACUUAGUGAACAACCAUUCCCAUUUCUUUUAGCCCAAAGAUCGGACAUCCGCCGAGAGGGCUAAGCCGUUUUCCUUUCGUUGCUCUUUUAGUGUAGUUGUUCCUCAGUGUUAUGUCGUCUCUUUUCGUAGUCUUUCGAGGUCUAGUGGUUUGAUUGUUUCGCCUUGUUUGUCGCUUUCGAGGUAGUCGC